UACGUGAAACCGUUUAGGGGUAAACCUGAGAAACCCGAAAGGUCGAAGGGAGAAAUUCAUUCGCGUUUCGCAGUCGGCGUGAGGCGAUCGAGUGACGGAACGCGUCUUCGGACGUUUUCUGCACCUUUUGUUUUUCGAUCCGAUAGCGAACGCGUGCACUUUUCUCCUGGUAGGACGUCGCGAUCCGUUGGGUGUCGGUCUACGGCUCACGGUGGAGCCCGGAUGUACGGCUUGCCGUCACGUCCGGACCCGUGUGUCCCGGCUGACUCGCUCGACGGUAUACGAAUGGUUUAAGGCCGCUCUCGCGAGCGUUCGGCUCGU
Molecule: ribosomal RNA, 321 nt
Filed under: Liophloeus lentus
Lineage: Eukaryota; Metazoa; Arthropoda; Insecta; Coleoptera; Curculionidae
Description: partial large subunit ribosomal RNA
Source: RNAcentral